UUUAUUUGAUUUCCUUCGGGACUGAUUAUUUUGUGACUGAGUGGCGGACGGGUGAGUAACGCGUGGGUAACCUGCCUUGUACAGGGGGAUAACAGUUGGAAACGGCUGCUAAUACCGCAUGAUGUGUUUUGGGGGCAUCCCCGGAACACCAAAGAUUUAUUGCUGAAAGAUGGCCUCGCGUCUGAUUAGAUAGUUGGUGGGGUAACGGCCCACCAUGGCGACGAUCAGUAGCCGGACUGAGAGGUUGACCGGCCACAUUGGGACUGAGAUACGGCCCAGACUCC
RNAcentral lists this ribosomal RNA (284 nucleotides) under uncultured Eubacteriales bacterium. Its description in RNAcentral is "uncultured Clostridiales bacterium partial 16S ribosomal RNA". The stretch from base 46 to 284 matches the Rfam family "Bacterial small subunit ribosomal RNA", at positions 100 to 339 of the family's 1533-position model. The record is from RNAcentral. Lineage: Bacteria; Bacillati; Bacillota; Clostridia; Eubacteriales.